UACAGAGGCCCCAAGCGUUACCCGGAAUCACUGGGCGUAAAGGGUGUCAAGGCGGCUAUGUUAGUCGUUCGUUAAAUCUGUGGGCUCAACCUACAGUCUGCGAGCGAAACGGCAUAGCUUGAGGUUUGGAGAGGUGCGUGGAACUCAUGGUGUAGGGGUGAAAUCCGUUGAUAUCAUGGGGAACACCAAAGGCGAAGGCAGCGCACUGGCCAAAAUCUGACGCUCACACACGAAAGCCAGGGGAGCGAACGGG
Molecule: ribosomal RNA, 253 nt
Filed under: uncultured bacterium
Lineage: Bacteria
Description: partial 16S ribosomal RNA
Rfam family: Bacterial small subunit ribosomal RNA
Source: RNAcentral